Long non-coding RNA from Sinocyclocheilus rhinocerous, 124 nucleotides. RefSeq lists it as uncharacterized. The record is from RefSeq and is a predicted model, not a curated record. Lineage: Eukaryota; Metazoa; Chordata; Actinopteri; Cypriniformes; Cyprinidae. The transcript has 2 exons.
CUGAUGCAACAUCAACCAAUGUUGCAAUCACCCUCAGGAGGCACUUGAAGACCAGUGUCCAAUAUGCACAGGAACAUUUCCAGUGUCAGAAGUAGAACUGCCAUGCCAGCUUUUGUGGAGAAAG